CGACAGGUUCCUUUAAUCAUAUGAUUCUUAGGUCAUACACGACCUUCGUAGGAAAAACAAUGCAAACAUCCUCCUUUAAUUAGAUAAAGGAAGAUGUGGUAUGAGUGCCAAUGAGACAACUCUCCAUUCAAAUAACAAUUUAUAAAAGUAAACCAUUAUAGGUCAAUGUACGGCCUUCAACACGGCGAAUGGCUCACACCGAACAACAAGCUAUACAAGGUCCCAAAAUUUCUCGUGUAAAACCAUUCAAACGGGAAAACCAACGGUCUAAUCUAUAUAAAAAACAAGAAACGAGAAACACGCAUAAAAUACACAGACAAACG
This 323-nucleotide long non-coding RNA is filed under the name Mytilus galloprovincialis (Mediterranean mussel). The record is from RNAcentral. Lineage: Eukaryota; Metazoa; Mollusca; Bivalvia; Mytilida; Mytilidae.